UACAGAGACUGCAAGCGUUAUUCGGAUUCACUGGGCGUAAAGGGUGCGCAGGCGGCCGGGUGUGUCAGAUGUGAAAUCCCGAGGCUCAACCUCGGAACUGCGUCUGAAACUACUCGGCUAGAGUACUGGAGAGGGUAACGGAAUUCACGGUGUAGCAGUGAAAUGCGUAGAUAUCGUGAGGAACACCAGAGGCGAAGGCGGUUACCUGGACAGUUAUUGACGCUCAGGCACGAAAGCAUGGGGAGCAAAAGGG
This 253-nucleotide ribosomal RNA is filed under the name uncultured bacterium. Its description in RNAcentral is "partial 16S ribosomal RNA". It matches the Rfam family "Bacterial small subunit ribosomal RNA", at positions 524 to 776 of the family's 1533-position model. The record is from RNAcentral.